UCCAACAUCUCCAUCAGGAAGGUGUCAAUAGGGGUGUCACCAAUCAGCUUGAAGAAGAACAGGUGCUCAAGGCACUUGAGUCCAAUCGAGCGGAGGGCUGGCAGUCGGAGGAGCAGCUUGGCAAACCUGGGGAGAAAGAGCAAAAAUCCCUGUUCAUCAAGAGAGAGGCUAACUGUGUAAGAGGCAUUAUACUCUACCUGGGUAGUCUACAGCCUAAUGAUAUGCAGACUGAAUUCUCCAGUUGGUUUAUUAUUGUCACAUGCAUGAAGCGGAGUGAAAGGCUUUCAUACUGUUCAUACAGAUCAGAUCAUUACACAGUGUAUUAAGGUAGAACAAGGUAAAACAAUUACAAAGCAGAAUAAAGUGUAACAACUACAGAGAAAGUGCAGUGCAGGUAAAUGAUAAGUGAUAUCAAGAGUCCAACUUAUACUAGGGAAAUAUUUAAUAGUCUUGUAACAGCAGACUAGUAGGUGUCUUUGUGCCUUGUGGGUCAUUGAUGAAGCAGCUGAAGAUGACUGAGUCUAGGAUACUGAUCUGAUCAUACUGCAGUGAUGUCCUGGAACUGGGAUGAUUGACCUCCAACAACCACAGUCACUAUCCUUUGUAGGAGGUGACAGGCGGGGAUUCGGCACAUCCACUCACCUGCCCGAAGUAGAAUGACUUGAUCGUCGAGAGGGAGGUCGGAGAAGUGAGGAAUCCUCUUGGCCCAUUCCACCAGCGUGAAGAGCUGCUUGUCUGCCG
This is a long non-coding RNA of Hypanus sabinus (Atlantic stingray), 741 nucleotides long. RefSeq lists it as uncharacterized. The transcript is spliced from 3 exons. The record is from RefSeq and is a predicted model, not a curated record. Lineage: Eukaryota; Metazoa; Chordata; Chondrichthyes; Myliobatiformes; Dasyatidae.